This 301-nucleotide ribosomal RNA is filed under the name uncultured bacterium. RNAcentral describes it as "partial 16S ribosomal RNA". It matches the Rfam family "Bacterial small subunit ribosomal RNA", at positions 509 to 808 of the family's 1533-position model. The record is from RNAcentral.
CAGUCGCCGCUGGAAUACGAAGGGUGCAAGCGUUAAUCGGAAUUACUGGGCGUAAAGCGUGCGUAGGCGGUUUGUUAAGUCUGCUGUGAAAUCCCCGGGCUCAACCUGGGAAUGGCAGUGGAUACUGGCAAGCUAGAGUGUGUCAGAGGAUGGUGGAAUUCCCGGUGUAGCGGUGAAAUGCGUAGAGAUCGGGAGGAACAUCAGUGGCGAAGGCGGCCAUCUGGGACAACACUGACGCUGAGGCACGAAAGCGUGGGGAGCAAACAGGAUUAGAUACCCCCGUAGUCCCUGUCUCUUAACA